CCAAAUCUAUUGAUUGGGAGAGUAGAUAAAUCGUUUUGUCAAAGCGAGCCGGAGUUGGUGAGAGUCCGGAACAAAGGUUUUAUUGAAGCGUACCCAUGAAGAGGUUUUCUGAAAGAGAAAUCGAGUAGGAAAAUCCGGAAGCCCCCGUUAAGGGCCUUGAGUGAAAAUGAGUAUACUGUCUGACUUUGCAGGCGGGCUCAUUUUAAGAAGAGUGGUAACGCGGAUAAGCUUCGUCUCUUAC
This 241-nucleotide non-coding RNA is filed under the name Peptoclostridium litorale. RNAcentral's name for it is "Clostridium litorale T-box sequence". It matches the Rfam family "T-box leader". Rfam says of the family: Uncharged tRNA acts as the effector for transcription antitermination of genes in the T-box leader family. T-boxes are found upstream of many aminoacyl-tRNA synthetase genes and some amino acid biosynthetic genes usually in Gram-positive bacteria. The anticodon of a specific tRNA base pairs to a specifier sequence within the T-box motif, and the NCCA acceptor tail of the tRNA base pairs to a conserved bulge in the T-box antiterminator hairpin. The record is from RNAcentral. Lineage: Bacteria; Bacillati; Bacillota; Clostridia; Peptostreptococcales; Peptoclostridiaceae.